Molecule: long non-coding RNA, 843 nt
Organism: Zalophus californianus (California sea lion)
Lineage: Eukaryota; Metazoa; Chordata; Mammalia; Carnivora; Otariidae
Exons: 3
Source: RefSeq, a predicted model, not a curated record
UUGACACCAAGACUUUUGGUUUGAACAGAUGGAAGGAUGGAGUUGACAUCAACUGAGAAGUGGAAGACUGGCUAACCCUGGAUCCUCACUGAAGAGGACAGAGGGAGAGGCAAGUAGGAGGAGAGUUUCUGCCUUGACUGGCAGCAGGAGACCUGGCACUACCUCCAAGUAGCAGAGGCUUAAACCUGAUAUUUCUGUUGGAGUGUAUUUGUGGAUCUAUGGAGGCUUCACCUGGAAUAUAUCCCUGCAUUUCUCCUGAGGGACACCGAGGGACACACAGGAGGACCUGGCUGCUCCUAACACCAGCAACCUCAAAGCAAAAACUGCCUCCCAGCAAUGCCACUGCCUCGAUUGGAAUCUGUCACCACUGAAUUUAUUUUUUUGCUCCAACAUAUAGGGCUUGUUUCUGUGACAGGAAAAAUAAUACACACAGAGAGUAAGAAAAUACAUAUAUAAAAGAAGAAUUACAUAAGCCAGGAGAGUGAAAGUCUUUUCUUCAGAAAAUAUAUAGCCUCAAGUACCUAAAUUAGAAGAAAACACAGAAAAUUAACGUGUUAAGCUUCACAGUAGAGAAGUUUGAGGAAGAACAACAAAAUAAACACUAAGAAAACAGGAGGAAAGAACAAACACAGAUAUGGGCAGAAACUAACAAAACAGGAAACUAAGAUACAACAAAGAUAAUCAAUAAAACCAAAGCUGUUUCUUUGACAAGACUAAUAACAUAGAUCUCUGGCAAUAUUGAUCAAGGAAAAAGAAAAAAUGUAAAUAGUAUUUGUAAUGGAAAGAGAGCAUAAGUACAUAUGUAGCAGAUGAAAAACUGAAAAUACAAUAAAAACGUCAUGC